RNAcentral lists this RNase P RNA (379 nucleotides) under Gammaproteobacteria bacterium. RNAcentral describes it as "partial RNase P RNA component class A". It matches the Rfam family "Bacterial RNase P class A". Rfam says of the family: Ribonuclease P (RNase P) is a ubiquitous endoribonuclease, found in archaea, bacteria and eukarya as well as chloroplasts and mitochondria. Its best characterised activity is the generation of mature 5'-ends of tRNAs by cleaving the 5'-leader elements of precursor-tRNAs. Cellular RNase Ps are ribonucleoproteins. Lineage: Bacteria; Pseudomonadati; Pseudomonadota; Gammaproteobacteria. The record is from RNAcentral.
GUCGGCCAGGCAACCGCUGCGCUUCACGGCGUGGAGGAAAGUCCGGGCUCCACAGGGCAAGGUGCCAGGUAAUGCCUGGGGGGCGCGAGCCCACGGACAGUGCAACAGAAAGCAAACCGCCUAUGUCAUGGCUCGUGCAAACGGGUGAUGGCAGGUAAGGGUGAAAGGGUGCGGUAAGAGCGCACCGCGCCGGUGGCAACAUUCGGCGGCACGGCAAACCCCACCUGGAGCAAGACCAAAUAGGGAAGCGCGCGGACCUUCGGGUCCGUUCCUGCGGCCCGCAGGGGCUUCCGGGUAGGUCGCUCGAGGCGCACGGCGACGUGCGUCCCAGAUGGAUGGUUGCCCACGACAGAACCCGGCUUAUCGGCCGACUCCCACC